AUUGAACGCUGGCGGCAUGCCUAACACAUGCAAGUCGAACGGGUUGUAGCAAUACAACUAGUGGCGGACGGGUGAGGAAUACAUAGGAAUUUGCCUUUAGGUGGGGGAUAGUCCGGGGAAACUCGGUUUAAUACCGCAUGAUGUCGCAAGACCAAAGCCGGGGAUCGCAAGACCUGGCGCCUUUAGAGAAGCCUAUGUCUGAUUAGCUAGUUGGUAGGGUAACGGCCUACCAAGGCGACGAUCAGUAACUGGUCUGAGAGGACGAUCAGUCACACCGGAACUGAGACACGGUCCGGACUCCUACGGGAGGCAGCAGUGGGGAAUAUUGGACAAUGGGCGAAAGCCUGAUCCAGCAAUGCCGCGUGUGUGAAGAAGGCCUUCGGGUUGUAAAGCACUUUGAUCUGGGAAGAAAAAGCUUCACCUAAUACGUGAAGCCUUGACGGUACCAGAGGAACAAGCACCGGCUAACUCUGUGCCAGCAGCCGCGGUAAUACAGAGGGUGCUAGCGUUAAUCGGAUUUACUGGGCGUAAAGCGUGUGUAGGCGGUUCGUUAAGUCGGAUGUGAAAGCCCUGGGCUCAACCUAGGAAUUGCAUUCGAUACUGGCGAGCUAGAGUACGGUAGAGGGUGGCGGAAUUCCGGGU
This 642-nucleotide ribosomal RNA is filed under the name uncultured Lysobacteraceae bacterium. Its description in RNAcentral is "bacterial SSU rRNA". It matches the Rfam family "Bacterial small subunit ribosomal RNA", at positions 28 to 674 of the family's 1533-position model. Lineage: Bacteria; Pseudomonadati; Pseudomonadota; Gammaproteobacteria; Lysobacterales; Lysobacteraceae. The record is from RNAcentral.